RNAcentral lists this unclassified non-coding RNA (407 nucleotides) under uncultured fungus. Its description in RNAcentral is "partial contains small subunit ribosomal RNA, internal transcribed spacer 1, and 5.8S ribosomal RNA". The stretch from base 1 to 73 matches the Rfam family "Eukaryotic small subunit ribosomal RNA", at positions 1759 to 1831 of the family's 1831-position model. Lineage: Eukaryota; Fungi. The record is from RNAcentral.
GCAAACUUGGUCAUUUAGAGGAAGUAAAAGUCGUAACAAGGUUUCCGUAGGUGAACCUGCGGAAGGAUCAUUAUUGAAUGCAACUUGAUGGGUUGUAGCUGGCUCCUCUGGAGCAUGUGCACACUUGUCUUGAUUCUAUUCAUCCACCUGUGCAUCAUUUGUAGUCUCUGAGGGCUGAGAGGUGGUGGUGGCGGUUGACCUCAUCCAACAAGGAUGGACAAGAGGAUUGCAAGCGUGUGCCAGCUUUCUUCAAUGACCUUGCCAUGACCUUCCUGGGAGACUAUGUCUUUUUCAUAAACCAUGUAGUAUGUUGUAGAAUGUGAUCAAAUGGGCCCUUUGUGCCUAUACAAUCUUAUACAACUUUCAGCAACGGAUCUCUUGGCUCUCGCAUCGAUGAAGAACGCAGC